Molecule: long non-coding RNA, 541 nt
Filed under: Coturnix japonica (Japanese quail)
Lineage: Eukaryota; Metazoa; Chordata; Aves; Galliformes; Phasianidae
Description: lncRNA (ENSCJPG00005017410.1)
Source: RNAcentral
GGUUUACACACAGAUGGAGCUCCAUGCUCGUUUGCAGAGUUGUGUCACCUGUGUGGUUUAAUUAACUCAAUCAGCCUCAGGUGGCCACUCACCCUCACCAUUGGUCCAGGAGCUACUUUUAGUUGCCAAUGUAUAUAUCUGACACUGUUUAGAGUUGGUAGUUCUGUCCUGGUGAAUGGUCUCCUUGCUUGGACCUGCUUCUGCUCACUAAACUGUGAGCAGAAUCUGUUCCUGCUUCCAACCUUGGCUUUUUUUCUGGAUUCCAGAGGAUUGUGCUAUGUCUUCGGAGGUGUGUGGUUUAGCACCCCACUUCAUCUUCUCGUGGAGUACCUGUGCUUUUCCUUUGUCUGCUGCAGAUUGUCAAACCUUGCCUCUUUCUGCUUCUGCUACAUUCACAUUGCAUUUAAAGCAAACAAACAACCGACAGCAACACCAAAAGCAAAGCAACCAACAUCUGAACAACUCCAAACUCAUCCUCUUAUCUUCAUCCUUCUUCCUUCUGUGAAUGACUUCCUAGUGGUACUGCUGGGAGGAAAACCAC